UCAUUACUGAUUCCUGUUAAUACAUUGAUUUCUGCACCCAAGACCUAUUUUGGAAAGAUUUCGCCAUUUUUCAUUAAACAUUCUUGUUUAUAUGGGCUUUGGCGACUAUAUAUAUGCGCCACGUCCAACCCUAAUUUUCAUGUUUUUUGACAUAUAAUUCAUAUCUUUGGCAGUUGCACAAACAAUUUUUGCACAAACAAUUUUUUUUCCGGCACCACGGAUAGGAGGCGGUACUGCCUCAAAGUCAAAAAUUAGUAAAAAAAUGGGUCAAAUUCCUUUCGGCUCACGAAAACUCAAAUGUAAAGCCUUCAAACAUUUAAAGUUUUUAGGACAUAAGGGUUAUUGGCUUACGAGCUGUAUUUUUUUUUGGGCCAGAUCCGUAUACAGGGUGAGUCAUUAUAAGCCAAUAAAACUGAGAAAAAAAAAAUUCAAACUGCUUCAGAGGCCAAACUAAAAUUUAAAUAAAAAAAGUGCUUCGGCCAAAAUGCUUAGUUUUAUGGGAGAAAUUACAUAUUUGAAUCUUUUUUUUUGUUAUUUUAACGACUUAAUAUGCGAAAUAUAAUAAAAUGCGAAAAAUAAGGUUUUUAAAGGCUGCCAUUUUGCUGUUGGUAGAAGUAAUGACUUAAUAUUCUAGAUUGCUUAUGAUGUGUGCCAAAUUUCAAAUUUUUAUAUAAACGCAUUCGAUUCGAAAGAUAAGAGGGGAGGGGGACGAUUGGACGUAGUUAUGCAUAACGCAACCAAGUGCCAAAUUCGUUUUUUUUGGUAUUAUUGUGUCAUCUGACAGCUAAAUCUUAUAUUUAUCUGCGAAAAAAAUCUCGAGCGUUAGGAAUCUAAAGUUAGGGAUAUAAACUCCUGGACAAAAUUAUCGCACCACUGAUUAUUUUUUCAAGAAAAUUUAAAUAAAAAUAAAUAUCAGUUACAACAGUUAUAAUAUCAUUUCUCGUAUAAAAAGCAGAACUAGACAAAAACUAUGUUUAUGCUCUAUCAUGGAACAUGCUGCUCGUGAGGAGUGAGAAAACAUCCGCAGGAAAGUUUUCAUAAUUUGAUACGAGGAAUGCUGCGAAGACUUCAAGCGGUCAUUGCAGCUAGAGGUGGCAAUACACGUUAUUAAGAAUUCAUUAUGGGUCUAUUGUUUUAUUUUUGUAUCAAAAUUGAAGUUAGUGAAAAUCGAUGCUUUUCCUUGUAUUGAAUUUAGUUACUUAAAUCUCGUUUUGUUUUUGUUAAAUUUUGCAUAAAGCGAAUAAACGUCGCGAAAUUUUGCAUUUCAAUUAAACGCCAUGAUACUGGCGCUUGGUUUAGUGAUGCAAAUAGCAGCUUAGUUCGGUAAUUGCAUCAGCGAACAAAAAAGUCACGUUAUCUGGAACAGAAAAAUAGGUAAUAUAUCACGUGAUAUCUGUCAAAUUUUGAUUAUUUUUGUCGCAGAUGCAUUUACCGAACUUAGCUAGCAAAUAUCAAUUGACGUUUUUUGAGUAAUGUGUACAGGUUAUGUUUAUGAAUAUUAUUCGUUAAUAUUGAUUCAAUUCAAAUUUUAAAAAAAUGAGCCGGACUACUAUUAUACUAAAACGCGCAUAUGAAAUAAAUUUAGAGGUGAUCCCACUAUUGAGGCUGACUUAGAAGGAAAUUUUAGGCAACCGGAUUUUAACAUUGAAAAUGGGACAGUAAUAAAUUUUUUUACGUAAUCGUUAGUUGUUAUAAAAAACUCUAGUUUUAUUUGAAGUUUUUCAAGGAUAUACCUAUGCAGUUGUAAUUUGCAUAGCUUAUUAUGUUAGUAAAUAAAGUAGUUUAGUUUUACUCUA
RNAcentral lists this long non-coding RNA (1796 nucleotides) under Anthonomus grandis grandis. RNAcentral's name for it is "uncharacterized LOC126735710". The record is from RNAcentral. Lineage: Eukaryota; Metazoa; Arthropoda; Insecta; Coleoptera; Curculionidae.